RNAcentral lists this ribosomal RNA (1315 nucleotides) under Pseudomonas fluorescens. RNAcentral's name for it is "bacterial SSU rRNA". It matches the Rfam family "Bacterial small subunit ribosomal RNA", at positions 56 to 1355 of the family's 1533-position model. The record is from RNAcentral. Lineage: Bacteria; Pseudomonadati; Pseudomonadota; Gammaproteobacteria; Pseudomonadales; Pseudomonadaceae.
UGCAGUCGAGCGGACAGAUGGGAGCUUGCUCCCUGAUGUUAGCGGCGGACGGGUGAGUAACACGUGGGUAACCUGCCUGUAAGACUGGGAUAACUCCGGGAAACCGGGGCUAAUACCGGAUGGUUGUCUGAACCGCAUGGUUCAGACAUAAAAGGUGGCUUCGGCUACCACUUACAGAUGGACCCGCGGCGCAUUAGCUAGUUGGUGAGGUAACGGCUCACCAAGGCGACGAUGCGUAGCCGACCUGAGAGGGUGAUCGGCCACACUGGGACUGAGACACGGCCCAGACUCCUACGGGAGGCAGCAGUAGGGAAUCUUCCGCAAUGGACGAAAGUCUGACGGAGCAACGCCGCGUGAGUGAUGAAGGUUUUCGGAUCGUAAAGCUCUGUUGUUAGGGAAGAACAAGUGCCGUUCAAAUAGGGCGGCACCUUGACGGUACCUAACCAGAAAGCCACGGCUAACUACGUGCCAGCAGCCGCGGUAAUACGUAGGUGGCAAGCGUUGUCCGGAAUUAUUGGGCGUAAAGGGCUCGCAGGCGGUUUCUUAAGUCUGAUGUGAAAGCCCCCGGCUCAACCGGGGAGGGUCAUUGGAAACUGGGGAACUUGAGUGCAGAAGAGGAGAGUGGAAUUCCACGUGUAGCGGUGAAAUGCGUAGAGAUGUGGAGGAACACCAGUGGCGAAGGCGACUCUCUGGUCUGUAACUGACGCUGAGGAGCGAAAGCGUGGGGAGCGAACAGGAUUAGAUACCCUGGUAGUCCACGCCGUAAACGAUGAGUGCUAAGUGUUAGGGGGUUUCCGCCCCUUAGUGCUGCAGCUAACGCAUUAAGCACUCCGCCUGGGGAGUACGGUCGCAAGACUGAAACUCAAAGGAAUUGACGGGGGCCCGCACAAGCGGUGGAGCAUGUGGUUUAAUUCGAAGCAACGCGAAGAACCUUACCAGGUCUUGACAUCCUCUGACAAUCCUAGAGAUAGGACGUCCCCUUCGGGGGCAGAGUGACAGGUGGUGCAUGGUUGUCGUCAGCUCGUGUCGUGAGAUGUUGGGUUAAGUCCCGCAACGAGCGCAACCCUUGAUCUUAGUUGCCAGCAUUCAGUUGGGCACUCUAAGGUGACUGCCGGUGACAAACCGGAGGAAGGUGGGGAUGACGUCAAAUCAUCAUGCCCCUUAUGACCUGGGCUACACACGUGCUACAAUGGUCAGAACAAAGGGCAGCGAAACCGCGAGGUUAAGCCAAUCCCACAAAUCUGUUCUCAGUUCGGAUCGCAGUCUGCAACUCGACUGCGUGAAGCUGGAAUCGCUAGUAAUCGCGGAUCAGCAU